This is a non-coding RNA of Cricetulus griseus (Chinese hamster), 85 nucleotides long. The record is from Rfam. Lineage: Eukaryota; Metazoa; Chordata; Mammalia; Rodentia; Cricetidae.
GCAGCCUAUGAUGAAGCGAUCUCCCACUGGUGUUCGAGUUUCCCAACUAUGAGACAACUCUACAUGCACUACCAUCUGAGGCUGG